Molecule: ribosomal RNA, 271 nt
Filed under: uncultured bacterium
Lineage: Bacteria
Description: partial 16S ribosomal RNA
Rfam family: Bacterial small subunit ribosomal RNA
Source: RNAcentral
CCGGCGACCGGCGCACGAGUGAGUAACACGUAUGCAACCUGCCCUCCGCAGGGGGAUAACCCGGAGAAAUCCGGACUAAUACCGCGUGGUACACCAGUGGGGCAUCCCACGGGUGUUAAAAGGAAGCGAUUCCGGCGGAGGAUGGGCAUGCGGCGCAUUAGCUUGUUGGCGGGGUAACGGCCCACCAAGGCGACGAUGCGUAGGGGUUCUGAGAGGAAGGUCCCCCACACUGGUACUGAGACACGGACCAGACUCCUACGGGAGGCAGCAG